This 329-nucleotide unclassified non-coding RNA is filed under the name soil metagenome. Its description in RNAcentral is "partial contains 5.8S ribosomal RNA, internal transcribed spacer 2, and large subunit ribosomal RNA". The stretch from base 1 to 120 matches the Rfam family "5.8S ribosomal RNA", at positions 35 to 154 of the family's 154-position model. The record is from RNAcentral.
GAUGAAGAACGCAGCGAAAUGCGAUAAGUAAUGAGAAUUGCAGAAUUCAGUGAAUCAUCGAAUCUUUGAACGCACAUUGCGCCCUCUGGUAUUCCGGGGGGCAUGCCUGUUCGAGCGUCAUUAUAACCACUCAAGCUCUCGCUUGGUAUUGGGGUUCGCGGUUUCGCGGCCCCUAAAAUCAGUGGCGGUGCCUGUCGGCUCUACGCGUAGUAAUACUUCUCGCGAUUGAGUUCGAUAGGUCUACUUGCCAGUAACCCCCAAUUUUUACAGGUUGACCUCGGAUCAGGUAGGGAUACCCGCUGAACUUAAGCAUAUCAAUAAGCGGAGGA